RNAcentral lists this ribosomal RNA (440 nucleotides) under uncultured bacterium. RNAcentral describes it as "partial 16S ribosomal RNA". It matches the Rfam family "Bacterial small subunit ribosomal RNA", at positions 338 to 795 of the family's 1533-position model. The record is from RNAcentral.
CCUACGGGAGGCAGCAGUGGGGAAUAUUGCACAAUGGGGGAGACCCUGAUGCAGCGACGCCGCGUGAAUGAAGAAGUCAUUCUUUAUGUAAAGCUCUAUCAGCAGGGGAGAAAAUGGCGGUACCUGAGUAAGCAGCCCCGGCUAACUACGUGACAGCAGCCGCGGUCCUACGUCGGGGGCAAGCGUUAUCCGGAUUUACUGGGUGUAACGGGAGCGUAGACGGCAGUGCAGGUCUGGAGUGAAAGGCGGGGGCUCAACCCCCGGACUGCUCUGGAAACUGUAGGGCUGGAGUGCAGGAGAGGUAAGCGGAAUUCCUAGUGUAGCGGUGAAAUGCGUAGAUAUUAGGAGGAACACCAGUGGCGAAGGCGGCUUACUGGACUGUAACUGACGCUGAGGCUCGAAAGCGUGGGGAGCAAACAGGAUUAGAUACCCUAGUAGUC